AUGGAGAAAAGUGACUUUUUCAUGCCCCGACAGAGACUGGGUGUUGAAACUGGUUUCAGAAGUCAUAUCCUGCCGGGUGCACACCCUGCGAGCGCCAAGGCCAGGAUCCACUACUCAGGAUUUGCCAAACGCGCGGCGUCCUGGAUGCACACGACUUCACACACGCACACGCACCCACGAGGACGGGAGAGCAACUCCGUCCUCGGCAGCGAAUUCUACCCCCUGAAGUUACCCUCGUCCAUUCUCUUCAGGGCCCUUUUGCAUUUCAUGAGCGGAUUUCUCGGCAUAAACAACGCAGCACCCAGCGAUGCGUCUCGGAGUCAAAAACAUACGUUCGCUAUUUUUAUUUUUUUUAUUUUUUUUUUUUUUAAUUUUUAUUUAUUUAUGAUAGUCACACAGAGAGAGAGAGAGAGAGAGAGAGAGGCAGAGACACAGGCAGAGGGAGAAGCAGGCUCCAUGCACCGGGAGCCCGAUGUGGGAUUCGAUCCUGGGUCUCCAGGAUCGCGCCCUGGGCCAAAGGCAGGCGCCAAACCGCUGCGCCACCCAGGGAUCCCGACGUUCGCUAUUUUUAAAGCCGCAGCGCAGAAGUCGGCGCGCAGGGACCCGGGCUCCUCCCGGAGCGGUGGUGGGCGGGGAGCGAGGACCGAGACUACGUGCUGGGGAGGGAACAGCCUGGCCUCCCGCUUCCCCGAGCGCCAGCGCCGGCCCCCUGGGGGCGCGCUCCUCCGAGCACCCUGGGGCUCCCCGGUCCCCAGCGAAUUGGCGCGCUCGGGACUCGCAGCGCCCGGGCGGCGUCGGACCUGCCAACCCGCGCCCCCUCGCCCCCGCCCGGAGGAGGGCUCGGCCGCCGGGUCCCCCGGCCCAGGAGGGAUCGGGAGGGACGGAGAAGCCAAGCAGGUGGCGAUUAGGUCAGCCUGGGAACAUUCUUGGGCCGCUCCAGUGGAUAUAAAUAACAGGCAGGCAGGCUGCGAAAAAUCCCGGGGUGGGGGCACCGGGGGUGGGGCAGAAGGGACUUCUUAA
This 1020-nucleotide long non-coding RNA is filed under the name Canis lupus familiaris (dog). RNAcentral's name for it is "lncRNA (ENSCAFG00845024960.1)". Lineage: Eukaryota; Metazoa; Chordata; Mammalia; Carnivora; Canidae. The record is from RNAcentral.